This is a non-coding RNA of Ornithorhynchus anatinus (platypus), 72 nucleotides long. Lineage: Eukaryota; Metazoa; Chordata; Mammalia; Monotremata; Ornithorhynchidae. The record is from Rfam.
AGCAGCGUGGCUCAGUGGCAAGAGCCCGGGCUUAGGAGCCCGAGGUCGUGGGUUUUAAUCCCAGCUCCGCCA